This 253-nucleotide ribosomal RNA is filed under the name uncultured bacterium. RNAcentral describes it as "partial 16S ribosomal RNA". It matches the Rfam family "Bacterial small subunit ribosomal RNA", at positions 524 to 776 of the family's 1533-position model. The record is from RNAcentral.
GACGAACCGUACAAACGUUAUUCGGAAUCACUGGGCUUAAAGGGUGCGUAGGCGGCGGCGCAAGUUGGGUGUGAAAUCCCUCGGCUCAACCGAGGAACUGCGCUCAAAACUGCGUUGCUUGAGGGAGAUAGAGGUGAGUGGAACUUAGGGUGGAGCGGUGAAAUGCGUUGAUAUCCUAAGGAACACCAGUGGCGAAAGCGACUCACUGGGUCUCUUCUGACGCUGAGGCACGAAAGCGUGGGGAGCAAACAGG